GACGGGGCCCGCACAAGCGGUGAAGCAUGUGGUUAAUUCGAAGCAACGCGAAGAACCUUACCAGGUCUUGACAUCCCUGACAACCAAGAGAUUGGGCGUUCCCCUCGGGGGACAGGGUGACAGGUGGUGCAUGGUUGUCGUCAGCUCGUGUCGUGAGAUGUUGGGUUAAGUCCCGCAACGAGCGCAACCCUCGCCUCUAGUUGCCAGCAUUCGGUUGGGCACUCUAGAGGGACUGCCGGCGACAAGUCGGAGGAAGGUGGGAUGACGUCAAAUCAUCAUGCCCCUUAUGACCUGGGCUACACACGUGCUACAAUGGGCGGUACAAAGGGCUGCGAACCCGCGAGGGGGAGCGAAUCCCAAAAAGCCGCUCUCAGUUCGGAUUGCAGGCUGCAACUCGCCUGCAUGAAGCCGGAAUCGCUAGUAAUCGCGGAUCAGCAUGCCGCGGUGAAUACGUUCCCGGGCCUU
Molecule: ribosomal RNA, 465 nt
Filed under: uncultured Geobacillus sp.
Lineage: Bacteria; Bacillati; Bacillota; Bacilli; Caryophanales; Anoxybacillaceae
Description: bacterial SSU rRNA
Rfam family: Bacterial small subunit ribosomal RNA
Source: RNAcentral